GAUGAACGCUGGCGGCGUGCUUAACACAUGCCAGUCGAACGAUGAAGCCCAGCUUGCUGGGUGGAUUAGUGGCGAACGGGUGAGUAACACGUGAGUAACCUGCCCUUAACUCUGGGAUAAGCCUGGGAAACUGGGUCUAAUACCGGAUAGGAGCGUCCACCGCAUGGUGGGUGUUGGAAAGAUUUAUCGGUUUUGGAUGGACUCGCGGCCUAUCAGCUUGUUGGUGAGGUAAUGGCUCACCAAGGCGACGACGGGUAGCCGGCCUGAGAGGGUGACCGGCCACACUGGGACUGAGACACGGCCCAGACUCCUACGGGAAGCAGCAGUGGGGAAUAUUGCACAAUGGGCGCAAGCCUGAUGCAGCGACGCCGCGUGAGGGAUGACGGCCUUCGGGUUGUAAACCUCUUUCAGUAGGGAAGAAGCGAAAGUGACGGUACCUGCAGAAGAAGCACCGGCUAACUACGUG
RNAcentral lists this ribosomal RNA (466 nucleotides) under uncultured bacterium. RNAcentral's name for it is "partial 16S ribosomal RNA". It matches the Rfam family "Bacterial small subunit ribosomal RNA", at positions 28 to 507 of the family's 1533-position model. The record is from RNAcentral.